Long non-coding RNA from Mytilus trossulus (common blue mussel), 220 nucleotides. RefSeq lists it as uncharacterized. The record is from RefSeq and is a predicted model, not a curated record. The transcript has 3 exons. NCBI's taxonomy places the organism in Eukaryota, Metazoa, Mollusca, Bivalvia, Mytilida, Mytilidae.
UGUAAUUUGGGUUCACAAAUAUAUGUAAUAAAUCUAUAUUUAUAUUUGACAUAAGAAUAUACAUGUAGCUGACUUAAACAGAGUUUCAAGGAUAUGGCAGAAAGCAAACGAUUUGUUGGAAGAGUUACGGUUGUUACCGGUGGAUCACGUGGUAUAGGCAAAGCUUGUGUCAAAUUAUUUGCACAACAUGGAUCAAGUGUUGUUUUUUGUGCAAAUGACG